This 253-nucleotide ribosomal RNA is filed under the name uncultured bacterium. RNAcentral describes it as "partial 16S ribosomal RNA". It matches the Rfam family "Bacterial small subunit ribosomal RNA", at positions 524 to 776 of the family's 1533-position model. The record is from RNAcentral.
UACGUAGGGUGCGAGCGUUAAUCGGAAUUACUGGGCGUAAAGCGUGCGUAGGCGGUUCGUUAAGUUCGUUGUGAAAGCCCCGGGCUCAACCUGGGAAUGGCAAUGGAAACUGGCGGGCUUGAGUAUGGCAGAGGGGGGUGGAAUUCCGCGUGUAGCAGUGAAAUGCGUAGAGAUGCGGAGGAACACCGAUGGCGAAGGCAGCGCCCUGGGCCAAUACUGACGCUCAGGCACGAAAGCGUGGGGAGCAAACAGG